UUGUCAUCAAAGUAGCACGUGCCGCCAUUUUGACACUGGCACGGUGGCGGCAUGGUGGGCGGAGGGUCAAACCCUACAAGAUGGCACGUGUCAGAUUUUGAUUUAACAAAUUAAACGGACAUCUUAAAAAGUGAGUGUGCCUACCGGCAUCGCAUUUCGUGUUACUUCCAGUGACAAAAUCGGUGCCUUCGGGACAAGCGCACGUGUAGCCGCCCGGGCGAAGAAGACACAGGUGGCUGCAUGUUCCUUUGCAUGGAUUCUUCACUGUGGUGGAGAGUCGAUCGAGAACCAGGCAAGUAGGCCUAGCGGCGACCAAGCCGAGCGAAGUGGCUCCUGGCAGGAUGAAACGGCGACUGGCAAACGGGGUGUGGAGGUCGCAAAAAUGACCAAAUGAGGGACGGCGAGCUUGACUUCAUUAUUCCUUGUGGAGGCUGGCCUGACUGCAGUAGUUUUGCAGUGACUGCUGCUGGCCGAAAAAAAACUUCUAACAUUCCUCCUCUUCGAAGGGGGCAGAGGAGGAGGCAUGUUGUUGACAUGAAUCUGUUGGGGCUGUGUGUGUGUGUGUUUGUGUGGAUGUGU
Long non-coding RNA from Corythoichthys intestinalis (scribbled pipefish), 579 nucleotides. RefSeq lists it as uncharacterized. The record is from RefSeq and is a predicted model, not a curated record. Lineage: Eukaryota; Metazoa; Chordata; Actinopteri; Syngnathiformes; Syngnathidae. The transcript has 3 exons.